This 468-nucleotide ribosomal RNA is filed under the name uncultured bacterium. Its description in RNAcentral is "partial 16S ribosomal RNA". It matches the Rfam family "Bacterial small subunit ribosomal RNA", at positions 28 to 507 of the family's 1533-position model. The record is from RNAcentral.
GACGAACGCUGGCGGCGUGCUUAACACAUGCAAGUCGAACGGAAAGGCCCUGCUUUUGUGGGGUGCUCGAGUGGCGAACGGGUGAGUAACACGUGAGUAACCUGCCCUUGACUUUGGGAUAACUUCAGGAAACUGGGGCUAAUACCGGAUAGGAGCUCAUGCUGCAUGGUGGGGGUUGGAAAGUUUCGGCGGGCGGGGAUGGACUCGCGGCUUAUGAGCUUGUUGGUGGGGGAGUGGUUUGCCAAGGCUUUGACGGGUCGCCGGCCUGAGAGGGUGAACGGCCACAAUGGGACUGAGAUACGGACCAGACUCCUACGGGAGGCAGCAGUGGGGAAUAUUGCACAAUGGGCGGAAGCCUGAUGCAGCAACGCCGCGUGCGGGAUGACGGCCUUCGGGUUGUAAACCGCUUUCGCCUGUGACGAAGCGUGAGUGACGGUAAUGGGUAAAGAAGCACCGGCUAACUACGUG